This 21-nucleotide non-coding RNA is filed under the name Caenorhabditis elegans. Lineage: Eukaryota; Metazoa; Nematoda; Chromadorea; Rhabditida; Rhabditidae. The record is from RNAcentral.
UACGUAAAUUAUUAUAACCCU